This 540-nucleotide long non-coding RNA is filed under the name Solanum tuberosum (potato). Its description in RNAcentral is "long non-coding RNA (STUB_LNC003301)". The record is from RNAcentral. Lineage: Eukaryota; Viridiplantae; Streptophyta; Magnoliopsida; Solanales; Solanaceae.
UUCUCCUGAAGAGCUUCUGUUUCAGGUUCUUCCUCUUCAAUUGCUGGUUUUUCAUCUUUCUUUUCAACAACUAGUUCUUCAGAUGUGUCUUCAACUGUUGGUUCUUCAGGUUUCUCUUCAAGAGCUAGUUCUUCAGGUGUUUCCUCCCCUGCAAGCUCUUCAGGUGUUUCUAUAGUCGCCGGUUCUUCAGGUUUCUCUGUAAUCUCUAGUUCAGGUUUCUCCUCAACUGGUACUUCAGAUUUCUCCUCAAAUGUUGGUUCUUCAGGUUUCUCCUUAAUAGCUGGUACACCAGGUUUCUCUUCAAUGAGUGGUUCUUCAGUUUUUUCUUCAACUGCCGAUUCUUCAGGAUUUUCCUCACUGUCUGGAGAGUGUGCAACAUCAUUAUUGGUAUUGCAUGGGAUUUCACUGCCAGUUUUUUCGUUCGAGUCUACAAUUAGCAUAUUCUGCAAAAAGAAUUUAAUGUUUCACUUAGCCUUUCAAUAAAGAUGCAGAUGUGAAUCAUAGUACAUACAUAACUAACAAAAUGGAUAAACUUUGUGA